UUUUCUAGCCAUCUUAUAUUAGUCACAUUCACAAGAAAAAUACUUUAGUGCCACUUUCCCAUCAUGGUAAGUGGUAACCAAAAAAGUCUUCAAAGUUCAAAACCUUAAAAAGAUACAUAAAUAUAUAUAUCAAAAGAAAAAACCUGAAAAAAAAAAGUUAUUUAUUCCAAUUUUGGUUACUCUCCCAAUAAUUGUCUCCUCGUUACCUGCUAGAGCCGGUUGGUAAACCAACCACUGUGUCUUUUUCUUUUAAAUUCAGAAUUAGUUUUUUUUUGUGUGUGUCAAUUUUGUUGAUAAUGUAAAAAAUCUAAUCCGGCCAAUAAUAAUCUGCCACGUAGUGGAUAUGCCAUCGUAUAAGGAUCCAAUCCAACGGACAAAUAUAUAUUUUUAUUUCUUCUUCUACCGCAAAAGACCUUUGAUGCGACUGGUUGGUA
Molecule: long non-coding RNA, 434 nt
Filed under: Capsella rubella
Lineage: Eukaryota; Viridiplantae; Streptophyta; Magnoliopsida; Brassicales; Brassicaceae
Description: long non-coding RNA (CRUB_LNC003214)
Source: RNAcentral